Molecule: transfer RNA, 72 nt
Filed under: Capra hircus (goat)
Lineage: Eukaryota; Metazoa; Chordata; Mammalia; Artiodactyla; Bovidae
Also listed under: 3 other names
Rfam family: tRNA
About the family: Transfer RNA (tRNA) molecules are approximately 80 nucleotides in length. Their secondary structure includes four short double-helical elements and three loops (D, anti-codon, and T loops).
Source: Rfam by way of RNAcentral
UCCCUGGUGGCUCAGAUGGUAAAGAAUCUGCCUGCAGUGCAGGAGACCCAGGUUCGAUCCCUGGGUUGGGAA